GUCAGGACAACUCUUGUCAUUUUGCUCUUGCUCUUCUCACAGUAGAUGUUUCCUGUGAAGACUGAAAUUCAUCUUCAGCACUGUUUACAUUCCUGCACAGAAUAUAGCUACUUUAGUAAAAUGAAGAUGCCCUCUCACUGGAGCACAGGAGCCACUGGGCCACAGCCUCUCCCUUGGUAGCACAGAGAGCAUCCAGAUCCUGCCUGGAGGUUUGGGAGGACUGAUUCCUUCCCAGGAAAGGCCCCUUCAUCUCCUUUGCUACAGAAACAAGCAACAAAUGGCAGAAAAGACAGCAGAGCAGGCCCUGGCAAGAGGAUCCGAGGCACUGGAAGUGCAGCAAGGAUCCCACGGCGGUGUCUCAACAGGAUGGGCUGGAGCCUGAGGCUGGAACAUGUGUGGGAUGCCAAGAGGAGGAAUCUGAUGUGCAGCUUGCUGGAGAGUCACACUGCAGGUCCCCCAGCUGAAUAUCAAUUCCCUUAUCCUCCUCCCACCUUGUGUAAGGAAAAUGUGAUUCUUAGCUAAGUUAGCUAAGAACUUUGCAUUGGAGUUGAAAACUCAACUGUCUGGAGAGUUAAAACAUGAGCAAUAGAAAGAACUUUUGAAGAGGAGGAGGUGAAGAAGUGAUUCAGAGGAUAAACAGCAGCAGAGGAGGUACUUAUUGUUUCAUGGUAGUGUGGACACUGCACUGCAGUGAGCAGGAAGACAGCACAUGUCCCCGGGAGCAGGGGAGCAAGAGACACUCACAGAAAUAAGCAGCUGUUGUGUGGGAGAAUGACAUGAUGUGGAUUUGAUGCAAAUCUUACUCCCACCAGCAAGGCUGGUCACUCUUGGUGACAAUUAGGAGAGAUUUAAACUUUGAGCAUUAUGUGAUGCUCAAGAAAUUGGAAAUAAGCCAGGCUAAAGAUGUUCCUUCACGAGUCCAAUGGACAGUAUUGUAAACUACCAACAAGUAAGUAUUUUCAAGACUAGAAGUCCUGACUGAAGCACUUUUGAAGCCAUGAAGGAAAAAAACCAGCUUUUAUACGACUUUCUCACUAUCUAAACAUAGAAAAAUUUGUAUGUGCUUCAUGAUCUCAUGUUAUUUCAACUUCGCUAAGUUGACUGAAGAAAUUUUAGUGCCUGUGAAUCCAAAUGCCAAAAUCAGGUCCUUCUUUUGGUCAUCUUCUUGUUGACCUAGCAGGGACAACAGAAAUUGGUGGUUGUGCUCAAAAAUAAGGGGUGUUUUUUUAGUUUUCAGGGAAAUCUACUUAGACACAACCUACAAGCUGGAGAGGCAUCAACUGAUGAAUAAGCAAUCUGUUAACAACUUGGACUAAAAACAAAGCACUGAUGAGGGCUGGGGAAUAAAGCCAGACAUUUUGGAUAGCAAAUGUAAUCAAUAACCUGCCAGUUUGUAGAAUGUGCAUAGUGCUCUUCUGGGUGUUUUUUUGACCAAGAUGGGAAAGAGAUUUGGUCUUUGGCAGCAAGCUGGGCAUCUACAGAUUUGGAAAUCAAAAUGUGGCAGAAGAAAUUCUGUGGAGGAUGCCUUUACUGCAGUGGAUUAUCUGGCUACUUAUAGGACCUUACAGGAACUAGUCAGUAUUAAAAAGCUAGUAAUGUUGCCCUUCUUGAUAGGAAGGCCAUUUUUAGUGUCAGUACUACUGGUUUUAACAGCUAAGAAAUAAAUGCUUGCAGUUGAGUAGCCUGUGGAAAAAGCUUUGACCUCUCCACAGCAGACCACUUACCUUGCCAGUCUUGCCAGGGAGGCCAAGACUGAACAGAUGAAACAAAGACUGAAUUGCUCAUUUAUCCCAUGGGUAUAUUUGUCAUUGGAGGACUACUAAAACAUCUAACAUUUUUUCCAAGACCUACCAUCAACCAUUAUAUAAGUUGUUGGCAUUGAAAUAAUAACAGUUGUACUAACACCGCCACCAAUAAUAAUAAAUCAAGC
This is a non-coding RNA of Lonchura striata (white-rumped munia), 1930 nucleotides long. The record is from RefSeq and is a predicted model, not a curated record. Lineage: Eukaryota; Metazoa; Chordata; Aves; Passeriformes; Estrildidae.